This is a non-coding RNA of Oryzias latipes (Japanese medaka), 74 nucleotides long. NCBI's taxonomy places the organism in Eukaryota, Metazoa, Chordata, Actinopteri, Beloniformes, Adrianichthyidae. The record is from Rfam.
GGUGCUGUGGCUUAGAUGGUUAAAGGGCAUGUCUAGUAAACAGGAGAUCCUGGGUCCAAAUCCCAGCAGUGCCU